RNAcentral lists this ribosomal RNA (489 nucleotides) under Triticum aestivum (bread wheat). RNAcentral's name for it is "partial small subunit ribosomal RNA". The record is from RNAcentral. Lineage: Eukaryota; Viridiplantae; Streptophyta; Magnoliopsida; Poales; Poaceae.
AUGAUUAACCAGAGAACAUUCUUCACAUAUAUUUUUUAUUGCUCGGCAGCCAAAUACGUUUGGAGUAGUGUGUGCAAAUGUAUUGGCGGCACAGAUGGACUUCGAUGUUUUUUCGAGUACUUUUGGUGGAUUCCAAACGUUUUGACUAGUAGCCGGAAUUUGCAAAUUUUGGGGUUGGUUGUAAUUUGUUGGUCCAUUUGGAAGUUGUGCAAUUGAGCAUGUUUUGAUCAUAAAUUUGGUUAGAUCUCUUGUUGAUUUAUUUGCUACGCGUGCUCGUUUAUGCACUAUUGGGUAGUUUUACAAACUGAAGGUGAUCGACUACUGUUGGAGUAAGGCGCUAACAUCAUGCAAAGGGAGGCUCUGGUGGCGCAUGAUGAUAGGUGUGGAGAAAGAAGGGGACAAACUCUACGUCUCGGGCGGGAAGAUCCAGAGAAGUUGAAUAUGACCGACAGAAAUGAUGAAAUUAUAUUAGAAAAAUUGUUGUUGUGA